GGAAGUAAAAGUUGUAACAAGGUUUCCGUAGGUGAACCUGCGGAAGGAUCAUUAUUGUAUAACCGAGGUGCGAGGGCUGUCGCUGACCCGAAAGGUCGUGCACGCCCGAGUGCCCUCACACACAUCCAUCUCACCCCUAUGUGCACCACCGCGUGGGUCCCCCUUUGGCUUGUUCGGAGGGGGGCUUACGUUUUCACACAAACUUUGUAUGCAGUGUAGAAUGUAUUUUAUGUUUUUGCGAUCACGCAAUCAAUACAACUUUCAACAACGGAUCUCUUGGCUCUC
RNAcentral lists this unclassified non-coding RNA (285 nucleotides) under plant metagenome. RNAcentral's name for it is "partial contains small subunit ribosomal RNA, internal transcribed spacer 1, and 5.8S ribosomal RNA". The stretch from base 1 to 54 matches the Rfam family "Eukaryotic small subunit ribosomal RNA", at positions 1778 to 1831 of the family's 1831-position model. The record is from RNAcentral.